GACGAACGCUGGCGGCGUGCUUAACACAUGCAAGUCGAACGGUAAGGCCCUUCGGGGUACACGAGUGGCGAACGGGUGAGCAACACGUGGGUGAUCUGCCCUGCACUUCGGGAUAAGACUGGGAAACUGGGUCUAAUACCGGAUAGGACUCCUGGCUUCAUGGUUGGGGGUGGAAAGCUUUUGCGGUGUGGGAUGGGCCCGCGGCCUAUCAGCUUGUUGGUGGGGUAAUGGCCUACCAAGGCGACGACGGGUAGCCGGCCUGAGAGGGUGACCGGUCACACUGGGACUGAGAUACGGCCCAGACUCCUACGGGAGGCAGCAGUGGGGAAUAUUGCACAAUGGGCGCAAGCCUGAUGCAGCGACGCCGCGUGAGGGAUGACGGCCUUCGGGUUGUAAACCUCUUUCAGCUAUGACGAAGCGCAAGUGACGGUAGUAGCAGAAGAAGGACCGGCCAACUACGUGCCAGCCGCCGCGGUAA
RNAcentral lists this ribosomal RNA (478 nucleotides) under uncultured bacterium. RNAcentral's name for it is "partial 16S ribosomal RNA". It matches the Rfam family "Bacterial small subunit ribosomal RNA", at positions 28 to 523 of the family's 1533-position model. The record is from RNAcentral.